AUUGAACGCUGGCGGCAGGCCUAACACAUGCAAGUCGAGCGGAUGAAGGGAGCUUGCUCCUGGAUUCAGCGGCGGACGGGUGAGUAAUGCCUAGGAAUCUGCCUGGUAGUGGGGGAUAACGUCCGGAAACGGGCGCUAAUACCGCAUACGUCCUGAGGGAGAAAGUGGGGAUCUUCGGACCUCACGCUAUCAGAUGAGCCUAGGUCGGAUUAGCUAGUUGGUGGGGUAAAGGCCUACCAAGGCGACGAUCCGUAACUGGUCUGAGAGGAUGAUCAGUCACACUGGAACUGAGACACGGUCCAGACUCUACGGGAGGCAGCAGUGGGGAAUAUUGGACAAUGGGCGAAAGCCUGAUCCAGCCAUGCCGCGUGUGUGAAGAAGGUCUUCGGAUUGUAAAGCACUUUAAGUUGGGAGGAAGGGCAGUAAGUUAAUACCUUGCUGUUUUGACGUUACCAACAGAAUAAGCACCGGCUAACUUCGU
RNAcentral lists this ribosomal RNA (481 nucleotides) under uncultured bacterium. Its description in RNAcentral is "partial 16S ribosomal RNA". It matches the Rfam family "Bacterial small subunit ribosomal RNA", at positions 30 to 506 of the family's 1533-position model. The record is from RNAcentral.